This is a long non-coding RNA of Theobroma umbraticum, 468 nucleotides long. RefSeq lists it as uncharacterized. The record is from RefSeq and is a predicted model, not a curated record. NCBI's taxonomy places the organism in Eukaryota, Viridiplantae, Streptophyta, Magnoliopsida, Malvales, Malvaceae.
UUUUAGACAGGCAUUAGAGAAGUUACCAUCAUAAAAUUAGUAAUAGAAGCUACAAGCUUAAUCAGCUCUUUCUUUGCCCAUAAGUCAUUCUGAUUAUGGUGGAAAUUCAGGCAUCACUAGUUCUACUCAAUAGCGUAGAAUAAUACACCAAUUUACAAUCAAUUAGGUACCACAAUCAACAAAUAAGACAAAAGACAAAGACAACAAGAAAGGUCAGGACAAACAUUGACUAAAUAAAUAAAAUCAAAUAAGAGUUCAAAACAAAGUGGGAGGUGUUGCUACCAUGACAUGGGGAAGUAUCAAGAGACGGAAGGCCAUUAUAAAUGUAACCGAAAGAAGACACUCAAGUGGAGUAGGAGAAGCACCCAAAAAGAGCAUGUAAAAGCAUGGGUUUAUUUUUUGUUUUUCAUUGUAAAAAGAUAAGGCACUACAACGUUUUGAAUAAAUCAAAAAGACACGUUUCAGGAA